AUUGAACGCUGGCGGCAGGCCUAACACAUGCAAGUCGAGCGAGCGGCGGACGGGUGAGUAAUGUCUGGGAAACUGCCUGAUGGAGGGGGAUAACUACUGGAAACGGUAGCUAAUACCGCAUACCAUCAGAUGUGCCCAGAUGGGAUUAGCUAGUAGGUGGGGUAACGGCUCACCUAGGCGACGAUCCCUAGCUGGUCUGAGAGGAUGACCAGCAACGUUGAAACGGAGACAGGGUCCAGACUCCUACGGGAGGCAGCAGUGGGGCAGAUUGCACAAUGGGCGCAAGCCUGAUGCAGCCAUGCCGCGUGUGGGAAGAAGGCCUUCGGGUUGUAAAGCACGUUCAGCGGGGAGGCGUUACCCGUCGAAGAUGCACCGGCUAACUCCGUGCCAGCAGCCGCGGUAAUAC
This 406-nucleotide ribosomal RNA is filed under the name uncultured bacterium. RNAcentral's name for it is "partial 16S ribosomal RNA". It matches the Rfam family "Bacterial small subunit ribosomal RNA", at positions 29 to 526 of the family's 1533-position model. The record is from RNAcentral.